Molecule: long non-coding RNA, 1138 nt
Organism: Haliotis rufescens (red abalone)
Lineage: Eukaryota; Metazoa; Mollusca; Gastropoda; Lepetellida; Haliotidae
Exons: 4
Source: RefSeq, a predicted model, not a curated record
GCCUUCCCCUUCUCUGUACAGCAGCUUGAAGAAAAUGUGGAACGUCACUUUAUUUGACCCUUAUGUCCAUCAACACAGUAUCACACCACCCUGUUCUGACUUGACAAGAUACUCGUAGCAGAUUCUACACUAAGAUUACAAACUGCUUGCCCCAACACUGUAAGUGGGGAUGGAAAUCACUGAUGACAAGACACAGCUAAAGUUGGAAUUUACAUACAGCUGCAUCAUUGGGAAACUGAACAACACACAAGACCAACGUGUGCCCUGGUUGCUGGGAGUGCCAGAGUCUACUUACUGAUGGCCCCAGCUGUGAUGUCAAAGUCGAAGGCCCAGACCUGUCUGGGUGUGGAGUCGAUGAAGUACAUGACGCUGUUGUCUUCAGUCCAGGCCAUGCCGUUGGGGCUGCUGAGAAUCACCAGUUUUCUCCUUCUACGACCCCAAGAAGCCCAAUGUGAUACAAUCAGAUGCAAGUCUAAAAGGGCUGGGAUGUGUGUUGUGCCAAGAGGGGAGACCUGUGUGCUAUGAAAGCCACUCUCUGAGCCCAGCAGAAGAAAACUAUAGAUUUUCUGAAGGUAAAAAAUGGUAUGAAAUGGUUUCUUACAUUGAAACUCAGAUUGUUUAAGAAUGAUGAAAACAACGAAUCUGUUUUGGCCGAACCUUCCCUCAGAAGUACUAAUUUCUCACUCUUGUAUGUAGCUGAGAUUAACAUUCAAAUAACAGAGGCGUAUUAAAAAUUGUACACAGGAAUGUCAGGUUGAGGGUAGUGGGUGGAUGUUGGUUUAUAUUGUUCAUUUAGACGUGUCUCAGCUGAGUAUGUUCAUUUAGUUGCCAGCAGUUAUAUUCCACUUCCUAACAAAAUGAAGUAUCAGAAAGCUAAAAUAAACGAAGACCAAAUUCGUUUUGUCUGGUCUAUCUCAGCAGCUCUACAUCCAGUGGAUAAAUAGCAAAUAUAAAACGUAUGACUCAGAACUAAUAUGAAGGGAACAGACAUGCCUGUGUUGAUAAUACAAAUUUUGAGAAAUAAAAUGAUAUUCCAAUCAAUUUAUUAGGUUUUGGUGCGAAGGAUGAGGUAUUUCCCUCACAUAUAUCAUAGUACACAUAUUCCACGCAGUAGGAUUAUUGUUGUUGAGCAAGGAAG